Molecule: ribosomal RNA, 207 nt
Filed under: uncultured bacterium
Lineage: Bacteria
Description: partial 16S ribosomal RNA
Rfam family: Bacterial small subunit ribosomal RNA
Source: RNAcentral
UGCGUAGGUGGUGAGGUAAGUCGGAUGUGAAAUCUCCGGGCUCAACCCGGAAAUGGCAUUGGAAACUACCUUGCUGGAGGAUUUGAGGGGGGAUUGGAAUACUUGGUGUAGCAGUGAAAUGCGUAGAUAUCAAGUGGAACACCAGUGGCGAAGGCGAAUCCCUGGAAAAUACCUGACACUGAGGCACGAAAGCUAGGGAGGCAAACA